GUCAGACUCAGUGGUGCAAGCCUGUAAUCCCAGCUACUCAGGAGGCUGAGGCGGGAGGAUCACUUGAGCCCAGGUGUUCAACACUGUAGUAUGCUAUGAUCACACCUGUGAAUAGCCACUGCACUCCAGCCUGGGCAACAUAGUGAGAUCCCAUCUCUU
Molecule: small RNA, 159 nt
Filed under: Pongo abelii (Sumatran orangutan)
Lineage: Eukaryota; Metazoa; Chordata; Mammalia; Primates; Hominidae
Description: Metazoan signal recognition particle RNA (ENSPPYG00000030235.1)
Source: Rfam by way of RNAcentral